RNAcentral lists this long non-coding RNA (1139 nucleotides) under Cervus hanglu yarkandensis (Yarkand deer). RNAcentral's name for it is "lncRNA (ENSCHYG00000023339.1)". The record is from RNAcentral. Lineage: Eukaryota; Metazoa; Chordata; Mammalia; Artiodactyla; Cervidae.
GGCAGUUGACGCUGUGAGGAGGCAGCCUGGCCCUUUGGCCUUGUGUCCGUAGAGGGUGCUGGUGGACUUGGAGGUCGGAGCAACUGAGCGCCACUCUGCCGAAGCACCUCCUUCAUUGCCUCAACGGUCUCCGGCUCAUUUCGUGGUUUCUGGUUCCUGUGGAAAGAUGAUUCAAAAGUGGGACCUGGCACCUAAUCCUGGAGACCCGCCACUCCUUCUCCGCUCCUGAGUGACUCCAGACAUCUACUUGGGAUCCUAAGCUCCACAUGUGAUGGGAGAAACUCCACAAGGACAGGCAAAGACAGAUCAAGGAGCUGUAAGGUGAUUGAACCAUACAGCUCACGUAGGUAAGGAAACAUUUAGACUCCAACUGACCAGCAUGGAAGUCUCCCCUCUAGGAGAGGAAUAAACAAACAUUUUGUGUAAAUAACCAGGUAGUGGUCAUUUCUAUAAAUGAGUAGAUAGCAAAUAUUUUAAGCUUUGCAGGUCAUGUAGUCUCUAUCUCAAAUACUUAGCUCUAAUAUUGUGGCACAAAGGCAGCCAUUCAUAAUAAAUAAUCAAAUGGUUAUGGUUGUAUUCCAAUAAAACUUUAUUUACAAAAACAGUCCAUGGGCUAGAUUUGGCCUAUAGACCAUAGUUUUCUGACCUUUCUGUGAGGCAUUUAUGAGACCACAAGAGAGUUUUACUUAAAGGCUUCUUUAGAACUGCCCUAAAAAAAACUUUAGAUAAGAAGUCACAAAAGGAUCAAGUUGAUCCAUAAGUAACAACUUUCUGCAAAAACAAAGAGCAACACCUUUUAAAGAAAAAGAACAAAAUUCAGAUAUUCAAUAUCAUGUCAACCAUUAAAUUUUAAAAAAUACUUUUUUGGGAGCUGUGGCACUUUUUUGGCUCUUGCAGUAUGUGGGAUCUAGUUCCAUGACCAGGGAUCAAACCUGGGCCUCCUGAAUUGGGAGUCUGGAGUCUUAACACUGGACCACCAGAGAAGUCCCUCAGCCAUUAAAUUAAAAAAUUACUAGGCAUGACAAGAAGCAGGAGAAGGUGACACAUAAGCAGAAGAAGACCAGGGGAAACAGACUCAGAAAUUACAUAGAUGAUUGAAUUAGCAGACAUGACUUUAAAAUAGGCCAACAAGGGAAAAC